CAUUUUAAAGAAACGACAUGUUUUGUUGCUUUGUACCUUCAGAGCGUGCAUCCAUGGAAUCAAAACCUUUCUAAGGAACGAUUAGGUGGUUAGGAGAUAAAAGAAAAGUUUCUAUGGGCAGCAGACGCAGCAUUAACUAUUUAUAUGGUUGAAAGCCUGGGGAGUAACAACAAACAGUCGCGAGGGAACCGGAAGUGCCCCUGCCGAGGUGUGACCUCAACAGGCCCAACUGAUCAAAGCUAAAUACAGCAGGUCACAUGGAUCUCAAGUUCUGCUCUUCAUUCAUCCACUGGAGUAUUUUUUGAAGGUGCGCAUCACCAUCUGCACAUUAUUAGGUGGGAUGGACAUCAAACCCAGGGCCUCAGGCAUACUGGGCAAGCAUUGUAUCAACAGAGUCCCAUCCCUUCUCCAGCCCUGUUCCCCCCACAGUCUUGCUACAUGGCCCAGACAAAUCUGGUGAUCUUCUUGCCUCUGCCUCCUGAGUGCUAUAUUUAUAGACUGGACCACAACACCUGGUUUAAAUGAUUUUCUAAUGUAAACAAAUAAUAAACAGU
Mus musculus (house mouse) is the source of this 554-nucleotide long non-coding RNA. RefSeq annotates it as predicted gene, 35402. The record is from RefSeq and is a predicted model, not a curated record. The transcript has 3 exons. NCBI's taxonomy places the organism in Eukaryota, Metazoa, Chordata, Mammalia, Rodentia, Muridae.